This 2923-nucleotide ribosomal RNA is filed under the name Salmonella enterica subsp. enterica serovar Enteritidis str. EC20090641. RNAcentral describes it as "bacterial LSU rRNA". It matches the Rfam family "Bacterial large subunit ribosomal RNA". The record is from RNAcentral. Lineage: Bacteria; Pseudomonadati; Pseudomonadota; Gammaproteobacteria; Enterobacterales; Enterobacteriaceae.
GGGUUGUGAGGUUAAGCGACUAAGCGUACACGGUGGAUGCCCUGGCAGUCAGAGGCGAUGAAGGGCGUGCUAAUCUGCGAUAAGCGCCGGUAAGGUGAUAUGAACCGUUAUAACCGGCGAUACCCGAAUGGGGAAACCCAGUGUGACUCGUCACACUAUCAUUAACUGAAUCCAUAGGUUAAUGAGGCGAACCGGGGGAACUGAAACAUCUAAGUACCCCGAGGAAAAGAAAUCAACCGAGAUUCCCCCAGUAGCGGCGAGCGAACGGGGAGGAGCCCAGAGCCUGAAUCAGCAUGUGUGUUAGUGGAAGCGUCUGGAAAGGCGCGCGAUACAGGGUGACAGCCCCGUACACAAAAGCGCAUGUGCUGUGAGCUCGAUGAGUAGGGCGGGACACGUGGUAUCCUGUCUGAAUAUGGGGGGACCAUCCUCCAAGGCUAAAUACUCCUGACUGACCGAUAGUGAACCAGUACCGUGAGGGAAAGGCGAAAAGAACCCCGGCGAGGGGAGUGAAAAAGAACCUGAAACCGUGUACGUACAAGCAGUGGGAGCACCCUUUGGGUGUGACUGCGUACCUUUUGUAUAAUGGGUCAGCGACUUAUAUUCUGUAGCAAGGUUAACCGAAUAGGGGAGCCGGAGGGAAACCGAGUCUUAAUUGGGCGUUAAGUUGCAGGGUAUAGACCCGAAACCCGGUGAUCUAGCCAUGGGCAGGUUGAAGGUUGGGUAACACUAACUGGAGGACCGAACCGACUAAUGUUGAAAAAUUAGCGGAUGACCUGUGGCUGGGGGUGAAAGGCCAAUCAAACCGGGAGAUAGCUGGUUCUCCCCGAAAGCUAUUUAGGUAGCGCCUCGUGAAUUCAUCUCCGGGGGUAGAGCACUGUUUCGGCUAGGGGGCCAUCCCGGCUUACCAACCCGAUGCAAACUGCGAAUACCGGAGAAUGUUAUCACGGGAGACACACGGCGGGUGCUAACGUCCGUCGUGAAGAGGGAAACAACCCAGACCGCCAGCUAAGGUCCCAAAGUCAUGGUUAAGUGGGAAACGAUGUGGGAAGGCCCAGACAGCCAGGAUGUUGGCUUAGAAGCAGCCAUCAUUUAAAGAAAGCGUAAUAGCUCACUGGUCGAGUCGGCCUGCGCGGAAGAUGUAACGGGGCUAAACCAUGCACCGAAGCUGCGGCAGCGACACUGUGUGUUGUUGGGUAGGGGAGCGUUCUGUAAGCCUGCGAAGGUGGCCUGUGAGGGUUGCUGGAGGUAUCAGAAGUGCGAAUGCUGACAUAAGUAACGAUAAAGCGGGUGAAAAGCCCGCUCGCCGGAAGACCAAGGGUUCCUGUCCAACGUUAAUCGGGGCAGGGUGAGUCGACCCCUAAGGCGAGGCCGAAAGGCGUAGUCGAUGGGAAACGGGUUAAUAUUCCCGUACUUGGUGUUACUGCGAAGGGGGGACGGAGAAGGCUAUGUUGGCCGGGCGACGGUUGUCCCGGUUUAAGCGUGUAGGCUGGUUUUCCAGGCAAAUCCGGAAAAUCAAGGCUGAGGCGUGAUGACGAGGCACUACGGUGCUGAAGCAACAAAUGCCCUGCUUCCAGGAAAAGCCUCUAAGCAUCAGGUAACAUCAAAUCGUACCCCAAACCGACACAGGUGGUCAGGUAGAGAAUACCAAGGCGCUUGAGAGAACUCGGGUGAAGGAACUAGGCAAAAUGGUGCCGUAACUUCGGGAGAAGGCACGCUGACACGUAGGUGAAGUGAUUUACUCAUGGAGCUGAAGUCAGUCGAAGAUACCAGCUGGCUGCAACUGUUUAUUAAAAACACAGCACUGUGCAAACACGAAAGUGGACGUAUACGGUGUGACGCCUGCCCGGUGCCGGAAGGUUAAUUGAUGGGGUCAGCGCAAGCGAAGCUCCUGAUCGAAGCCCCGGUAAACGGCGGCCGUAACUAUAACGGUCCUAAGGUAGCGAAAUUCCUUGUCGGGUAAGUUCCGACCUGCACGAAUGGCGUAAUGAUGGCCAGGCUGUCUCCACCCGAGACUCAGUGAAAUUGAACUCGCUGUGAAGAUGCAGUGUACCCGCGGCAAGACGGAAAGACCCCGUGAACCUUUACUAUAGCUUGACACUGAACAUUGAGCCUUGAUGUGUAGGAUAGGUGGGAGGCUUUGAAGUGUGGACGCCAGUCUGCAUGGAGCCGACCUUGAAAUACCACCCUUUAAUGUUUGAUGUUCUAACGUGGACCCGUUACCCGGGUUGCGGACAGUGUCUGGUGGGUAGUUUGACUGGGGCGGUCUCCUCCUAAAGAGUAACGGAGGAGCACGAAGGUUGGCUAAUCCUGGUCGGACAUCAGGAGGUUAGUGCAAUGGCAUAAGCCAGCUUGACUGCGAGCGUGACGGCGCGAGCAGGUGCGAAAGCAGGUCAUAGUGAUCCGGUGGUUCUGAAUGGAAGGGCCAUCGCUCAACGGAUAAAAGGUACUCCGGGGAUAACAGGCUGAUACCGCCCAAGAGUUCAUAUCGACGGCGGUGUUUGGCACCUCGAUGUCGGCUCAUCACAUCCUGGGGCUGAAGUAGGUCCCAAGGGUAUGGCUGUUCGCCAUUUAAAGUGGUACGCGAGCUGGGUUUAGAACGUCGUGAGACAGUUCGGUCCCUAUCUGCCGUGGGCGCUGGAGAACUGAGGGGGGCUGCUCCUAGUACGAGAGGACCGGAGUGGACGCAUCACUGGUGUUCGGGUUGUCAUGCCAAUGGCACUGCCCGGUAGCUAAAUGCGGAAGAGAUAAGUGCUGAAAGCAUCUAAGCACGAAACUUGCCCCGAGAUGAGUUCUCCCUGAGACUUAGAGUCUCCUGAAGGAACGUUGAAGACGACGACGUUGAUAGGCCGGGUGUGUAAGCGCAGCGAUGCGUUGAGCUAACCGGUACUAAUGAACCGUGAGGCUUAACCUUACAACGCCGAAG